Hydra vulgaris (swiftwater hydra) is the source of this 353-nucleotide long non-coding RNA. RefSeq lists it as uncharacterized. The record is from RefSeq and is a predicted model, not a curated record. Lineage: Eukaryota; Metazoa; Cnidaria; Hydrozoa; Anthoathecata; Hydridae.
GCAGUUCAAAAACAUGAAAAAGGAGCAAGUAAUACAAUAUGUCGUCAGGUCCAUAAAGCGAUGGCUACUGCAAGCUCCUGACAUAAAUGUUAUUUUGGUUACAAAUUUAUACUUAUUUUGCAAUUUCUUCACUCUUGGCUAUUUUUGGGUAACUUGGUUGUAUUUACUAAAUUUAUGAGAUUCAGCUUGACAAGCAGAAAAGUUCGGAAAUCGAGAACAAAAGUUAGUUCAAGCAAGCAUCAAAUUGAAAUGAUGGUUGAAGUUUAACCGUUUGCUAACUUUUAUAUGUAUUGUAUUGCAAGACAAUUUUAUUGAAAUAAAAAUAUUUGGGAUAAUAAAACAUAUUGCUAAAA